RNAcentral lists this ribosomal RNA (543 nucleotides) under fungal sp. KRP62. Its description in RNAcentral is "eukaryotic LSU rRNA". The stretch from base 196 to 349 matches the Rfam family "5.8S ribosomal RNA". Lineage: Eukaryota; Fungi. The record is from RNAcentral.
GUAGGUGACCUGCGGAGGAUCAUUACAGAGUUCAUGCCCUUCGGGGUAGACCUCCCACCCUUGUGUAUUUAUACCUUUGUUGCUUUGGUAGGCCGUUGGGCUUCGGCCUGGCUACUGGCUCCGGCUAGUGAGUGCCUACCAGAGGAUACCAAAACUCUGAAUGUUAGUGUCGUCUGAGUACUAUAUAAUAGUUAAAACUUUCAACAACGGAUCUCUUGGUUCUGGCAUCGAUGAAGAACGCAGCGAAAUGCGAUAAGUAAUGUGAAUUGCAGAAUUCAGUGAAUCAUCGAAUCUUUGAACGCACAUUGCGCCCCUUGGUAUUCCGAGGGGCAUGCCUGUUCGAGCGUCAUUACAACCCUCAAGCUCUGCUUGGUAUUGGGCAUCACCCGUUAGGGCGUGCCUUAAAAUCAGUGGCGGUGCCAUCUGGCUCUAAGCGUAGUAAUUCUCUCGCUAUAGGGUCCUGUGGAUGCUUGCCAGCAACCCCAAUUUUUUCUAUGGUUGACCUCGGAUCAGGUAGGGAUACCCGCUGAACUUAAGCAUAUC